Molecule: ribosomal RNA, 253 nt
Filed under: uncultured bacterium
Lineage: Bacteria
Description: partial 16S ribosomal RNA
Rfam family: Bacterial small subunit ribosomal RNA
Source: RNAcentral
CACGUAGGGGGCAAGCGUUGUCCGGAUUUAUUGGGCGUAAAGAGCUCGUAGGCGGUCUGUCGCGUCGGCUGUGAAAACCCGGAGCUCAACUCCGGGCCUGCAGUCGAUACGGGCAGACUGGAGUUCGGCAGGGGAGACUGGAAUUCCUGGUGUAGCGGUGAAAUGCGCAGAUAUCAGGAGGAACACCGGUGGCGAAGGCGGGUCUCUGGGCCGAUACUGACGCUGAGGAGCGAAAGCGUGGGGAGCGAACAGG